GGGAGAAAACAAGUCCAAAAGUCCAAACCCUCCCCACAAGAACCCCUCUCUUUUCUCCUCUUCUCCACUCUCCAAAACAACACUAUCCUUUACAAUUCUCAACCCUUCGUAUUGAUAGAACACCCAUCUACACCAUUUCUUCUCCUUUUUAUUAAAAAAAACCACCCCCACAAAAUUUCAAAUUCCACCCCUCAAAGCUAGAAAGAGAUGUCUAGCUUUGGGGCCUUCUCUCACCUUCUUCUGCUGAUAUUUGCCUCUUUCAUCAGUGGAGCAAGCUCUUUCAAUGGCGUUGUGAAUGGGUCGGAGAUGCAGCCAUUGGUCGAGCCAGGGCUGGGAUCAAUGGUUCUGAAUGAGACACGUAGGCGGCUCGGGAGCUUUCGGAUAUGUGCUCUUUGUACGUGCUGUGGCGGUCCAAAGCGGCUGUGCGUGCCUUCCCCUUGCUGUUAUGCUAUCAAUUGCAAUAUUCCAAAUAGGCCCUUUGGUUUCUGUUCUUUUACACCGAAGACCUGCAAUUGCUUUGGUUGCCAUCUCUAGUCCCUAAGAAAUUUCUUUCUUUCUAUUUUUUAAAAUUGCAAGUAAGCCCCUCUUCUUCCUUUUUUUUUUUUUUGGCUAUUUUUUGGGUGUUUUUUAUUGUGUUGAAAGUGUGAGGUUGCAAAUGUGAAAAUCUAUUUUAUUGUGUUGAUUUGCAAUUUAGCAUAGAAAGUUCAUGAAUUCACGAUUAUUUCAGUCUUUUUUA
Molecule: long non-coding RNA, 736 nt
Organism: Magnolia sinica
Lineage: Eukaryota; Viridiplantae; Streptophyta; Magnoliopsida; Magnoliales; Magnoliaceae
Exons: 2
Source: RefSeq, a predicted model, not a curated record